This 551-nucleotide ribosomal RNA is filed under the name uncultured bacterium. RNAcentral's name for it is "bacterial SSU rRNA". It matches the Rfam family "Bacterial small subunit ribosomal RNA", at positions 355 to 897 of the family's 1533-position model. The record is from RNAcentral.
UGGGGAAUCUUGGGCAAUGGGGGAAACCCUGACCCAGCGACGCCGUGUGGGGGAUGAAGGCCUUCGGGUUGUAAACCCCUGUUAGGUGGGACGAACAUCUUCCUACAAAUAGUGGGGGGAUCUGACGGUACCACCAGAGAAAGCCCCGGCUAACUCCGUGCCAGCAGCCGCGGUAAUACGGAGGGGGCUAGUGUUGUUCGGAAUUACUGGGCGUAAAGGGCGCGCAGGCGGCUUGGCAAGUCGAGUGUGAAAUCCCUUGGCUUAACUGAGGAAUGGCGCUCGAAACUACCUCGCUGGAGGGCGGGAGAGGGAAGUGGAACUCUCGGUGUAGGGGUGAAAUCUGUAGAUAUCGAGAGGAACACCGGUGGCGAAGGCGGCUUCCUGGCCCGUACCUGACGCUGAGGCGCGAAAGCGUGGGGAGCAAACAGGAUUAGAUACCCUGGUAGUCCACGCCCUAAACGAUGGGCACUAGGUGUGGACGGUAUUAAUCCCGUCUGUGCCGUAGCUAACGCAUUAAGUGCCCCGCCUGGGGAGUACGGUCGCAAGGCUGC